This 234-nucleotide long non-coding RNA is filed under the name Mytilus galloprovincialis (Mediterranean mussel). Lineage: Eukaryota; Metazoa; Mollusca; Bivalvia; Mytilida; Mytilidae. The record is from RNAcentral.
CUAUUUUGGAUUAAGUUAUUUACCUAUCUAUGUGACCAAAACUAAAAACAUUUCAGUCAACACAUGAUUAAAAGUAAUAACAUUAGUGAACCAACUGAUUUUCAGUGGUAUCAGGGAUUUGGGCUUAGCGAUCUUUUCUGACGAAAUAUUUAUGUCACAUCGGCUGAUAUUGUAAACCGGUAAAUUUUCGCGCAGUCUUUAUUUCACGAUUUAUUAACACAAUUAAAAUUCGCG